RNAcentral lists this unclassified non-coding RNA (652 nucleotides) under Hevea brasiliensis (rubber tree). Lineage: Eukaryota; Viridiplantae; Streptophyta; Magnoliopsida; Malpighiales; Euphorbiaceae. The record is from RNAcentral.
AGCAACCGCGCCCACAGCCAAUCCCGUACCAAACCCCAUCUUUCCUCCUCCUUUCUGUCUCUGAUCGUACAGUGAAUACUCAACGGGCGCAGAGGGCCCACCGUAACUGCCCGUCCGAUCAAAUAUGGGCCUUGGCGGGGCUGGGGCCGAGGAGUAAUAUCCGGAGUAAUAAGGAGAUGGAGGGUAACCAUCGUGAUAGGAUGGGUAUUGAGGAGGCGGAGGUGGAGGUGACAGCGACGGGGGCGGCGGCAUUGUAGGCCCAUACCUGUAAUCACGCGGCGCGGGAGGAGGAGGAAUAGAUGCAGUGUUGUAAUAAUAAUUUUGUGGAGGGGCAAUAUGGUGAUAAUCAAGACCCGGAGGCGGCGGCGGUGGUGGCAACGGUCGUUCACGGAACCCAAGCUUUAUCCUGAUCUUACCCUGAGGACGACCUGAGGGGAGGGUCAGCACAAAAGUUCGAAUUCGGGACGAGUCAUCUGGGUCAGGCAGGUCCUUCAACGGUACACGGAGGGUGCCGACGAGGGGUUUGGGGGUUUCGCUGGGUUUGGAGUGGAAGAUCUCGAGGGUGAGAUAAGAAUCCUGGGGAGGGAGAAAAAGAGGGAGAGUGAAGCGCUCAUUCCAAACGGGUCGAGUAGAACCGGAGUCAUCGGACUUG